CAGCAGCCGCGGUAAUACAGAGGGUGCGAGCGUUAAUCGGAUUUACUGGGCGUAAAGCGUGCGUAGGCGGCUUCUUAAGUCGGAUGUGAAAUCCCUGAGCUUAACUUAGUAAUUGCAUUCGAUACUGGGAAGCUAGAGUAUGGGAGAGGAUGGUAGAAUUCCAGGUGUAGCGGUGAAAUGCGUAGAGAUCUGGAGGAAUACCGAUGGCGAAGGCAGCCAUCUGGCCUAAUACUAACGCUGAGGUACGAAAGCAUGGGGAGCAAACAGGAUUAGAUACCCCUGUAGUCCCUGUCUCUUAUAC
Molecule: ribosomal RNA, 301 nt
Filed under: uncultured bacterium
Lineage: Bacteria
Description: partial 16S ribosomal RNA
Rfam family: Bacterial small subunit ribosomal RNA
Source: RNAcentral